UCGAUUGAGUUUGAUCAUGGCUCAGAUUGAACGCUGGCGGCAUGCCUUACACAUGCAAGUCGAACGGCAGCACAGGGGCAACCCUGGUGGCGAGUGGCGAACGGGUGAGUAAUGCAUCGGAACGUGCCCAGUAGUGGGGGAUAACUAGUCGAAAGAUUAGCUAAUACCGCAUACGACCUAUGGGUGAAAGCGGGGGAUUCGCAAGAACCUCGCGCUAUCGGAGCGGCCGAUGUCUGAUUAGCUAGUUGGCGGGGUAAAAGCCCACCAAGGCUUCGAUCAGUAGCUGGUCUGAGAGGACGACCAGCCACACUGGGACUGAGACACGGCCCAGACUCCUACGGGAGGCAGCAGUGGGGAAUUUUGGACAAUGGGCGCAAGCCUGAUCCAGCCAUGCCGCGUGCGGGAAGAAGGCCUUCGGGUUGUAAACCGCUUUUGGCAGGAACGAAACGGCGCGAGCGAAUAUCUCGCGUUAAUGACGGUACCUGCAGAAUAAGCACCGGCUAACUACGUGCCAGCAGCCGCGGUAAUACGUAGGGUGCAAGCGUUAAUCGGAAUUACUGGGCGUAAAGCGUACGCAGGCGGCUUUGCAAGACAGGUGUGAAAUCCCCGGGCCUAACCUGGGAACUGCAUUUGUGACUGCAUGGCUAGAGUUUGUCAGAGGGGGGUGGAAUUCCACGUGUAGCAGUGAAAUGCGUAGAU
RNAcentral lists this ribosomal RNA (699 nucleotides) under uncultured bacterium. Its description in RNAcentral is "bacterial SSU rRNA". It matches the Rfam family "Bacterial small subunit ribosomal RNA", at positions 1 to 695 of the family's 1533-position model. The record is from RNAcentral.